AUUGAACGCUGGCGGAAUGCUUUACACAUGCAAGUCGAGCGGCAGCGCGGGGGCAACCCUGGCGGCGAGCGGCGAACGGGUGAGUAACAUAUCGGAACGUACCCCGUCGUGGGGGAUAACACAGCGAAAGCUGUGCUAAUACCGCAUACGACCUGAGGGUGAAAGCGGGGGAUCGCAAGACCUCGCGCGAUGGGAGCGGCCGAUAUCGGAUUAGCUUGUUGGUGAGGUAAAGGCUCACCAAGGCGACGAUCCGUAGCUGGUCUGAGAGGACGACCAGCCACACUGGAACUGAGACACAGUCCAGACUCCUACGGGAGGCAGCAGUGGGGAAUUUUGGACAAAUGGGGGCAACCCUGAUCCAGCCAUUCCGCGUGAGUGAAGAAGGCCUUCGGGUUGUAAAGG
This 402-nucleotide ribosomal RNA is filed under the name uncultured bacterium. Its description in RNAcentral is "bacterial SSU rRNA". It matches the Rfam family "Bacterial small subunit ribosomal RNA", at positions 29 to 431 of the family's 1533-position model. The record is from RNAcentral.